This 468-nucleotide ribosomal RNA is filed under the name uncultured bacterium. RNAcentral's name for it is "partial 16S ribosomal RNA". It matches the Rfam family "Bacterial small subunit ribosomal RNA", at positions 28 to 507 of the family's 1533-position model. The record is from RNAcentral.
GACGAACGCUGGCGGCGUGCUUAACACAUGCAAGUCGAACGGAAAGGCCCUGCUUUUGUGGGGUGCUCGAGUGGCGAACGGGUGAGUAACACGUGAGUAACCUGCCCUUGACUUUGGAAUAACUUCAGGAAACUGGGGCUAAUACCGGAUCGGAGCUCCUGCUGCAUGGUGGGGGUUGGAAAGUUUCGGCGGUUGGGGAUGGACUCGCGGCUUAUCAGCUUGUUGGUGGGGUAGUGGCUUACCCAGGCUUUGACGGGUAGCCGGCCUGAGAGGGUGUCCGGCCACAUUGGGACUGAGAUACGGCCCAGACUCCUACGGGAGGCAGCAGUGGGGAAUAUUGCACAAUGGGCGGAAGCCUGAUGCAGCAACGCCGCGUGCGGGAUGACGGCCUUCGGGUUGUAAACCGCUUUCGCCUGUGACGAAGCGUGAGUGACGGUAAUGGGUAAAGAAGCACCGGCUAACUACGUG